UUUCUUUGCAUUUGUUUUUCUGCUAUGUAAAUUAAGAGAAGAGAGGAGAGAGGAGCCAGCCCGGCCGGCCUCUUAGGCCUGACCGACUAGGCCUCCCUUGGCCCAACUCCCCUUCUCUGUUUUUUUUCCUUUCUUUGCACUUUAGCCAACAAUCAGGUUAGCCUGUUUGGCCCAUCCAACAGGCCAUCCAUCCGUCUCAACCCUAGCACGCCCGAUCCCAUCUCCCCUCUCCCAUCGAACUCCCUCGCGCCGUCAGGAGACAGCGAGCGUGCUGCCUCACUCGAUCUCCCCUCGCCCUCUUCUCGAUCCCAUCUCCCUCCACCGCCGCCUCGCACGCAGGAGCCCCGCGCCCGAGCCUCAAGCGCCGCUUCGCCCUCCUCUGGCGUCGUCCCUCUCCCUCGCGCCGCCAACCUCCUGCUGCCUCGCUCCAGCCACCGUAGAACCAGGCCACCGCUCCGGCAAGCCACCCCGGCGCCGCCCUCGCGCGCCUCGUAUCUCCUCGCUGGGACACGAGCCGCGUGCCCGCGAUGGCCGCGCCAUGGCCACCUCCCUCCUGCUCAGAUAGGGGAGGAGCGCAGCCCCUCGCACCGCCCGGCAACCCUACUGUCGCUGGUGAGCGACGCCGUCGGCAGGACCUUGGCUGCUCUCCGCCAUGGCCUUCCUCCUCCCACGCCCUGCUUCUCGCCGGUGACCACGACCAGCCCCGACCUCCUCUGUUUUUCCUCCUGCUUCGCCGGCCUAGUCCGCCUCGUCGCCGUCCUCCCAGUGCCGCCUCGAGCUCGUGAUCGCCUUGCUUUGCCUCCUAGUAGGCAACAGCAGCGUUCACCUCGCCCCUCGUUGGCCUUCGACCCCUGCUCGACGCCAAGACCAUGGCUCCAUGUCCCCGUGGACGCCAAGUUCUUUUCCGGAGACCUCCCCAAGACCAGGAUACGCCAAGACCCAUUCGUGGAUUUCUUCAAGUUCAAGCACCGCUGAACGAGUGCUUUUGCCUUGCUCAUUUUGGGACACGAUAAGUUCCUCUUCGAAAGUACGUCUACAUGAUGACCUGACAAGUACCAUGGCACCGAAGACCUUUGAUGCGUCAAGUCCAUUUUCGGAAGUGUACCACUACCACCGUCUUCGGAAUUGCUAAGAACAACAAGUAUCUUGACGCUCGAUGCAUAGAACAACUACCGUCAUCGACGACCCGGGUACCAGAAAUGCCAAGUACCCCUUCGAAUUGACGAGACCGGGAAGUUCGAAGACCUCAAGUACCUCUUGGAAACGACCGAGUACCACCACCGUCGACCCUCGAAGACCCCGUGGAUGUCAAGUUCCUCGUUGUGACCCCGAACACCUACGGAGUGUGUACAACUACGAAGCGAGAACGACUACUUCCACUACGACGGUCACGAGAACGUCUGCUUCCCCUACACCGCUCCAAACUUGUUCCGUUCCGAAAAGGCACGCUUCGAAGCUAUGCCUCUAAGUCGUGUCACGGCACGUGGAAGAUAUAACCGCAUUGUGGGUGUUACAUAAGAUUACAUCCCUUAAAGGCAUGCAAGGACUCCAGCAGCGGAAAGGGGUUAGGUCUGUGCCUUGUUUGGGACAACUCCAUCAGUCUGAGCCUUCUUCAACAGUUGGGCGCCGAAGCUCUCGAUGCUUAAGUGAUUGGGUUGAUAUUCGUGGGAGGCCAUGGAGCGAAGAAUGGUCGUAGGAGAGGCACGGAGUUUGUGCAGCAAAGUGGGGACAAAGAACCGAAUUUUGUGCAGCGGGGAGGGGCAGAGGCCGGUCGGUGCCAGGGGGG
This is a long non-coding RNA of Triticum aestivum (bread wheat), 1786 nucleotides long. RefSeq lists it as uncharacterized. The record is from RefSeq and is a predicted model, not a curated record. The transcript is spliced from 3 exons. Lineage: Eukaryota; Viridiplantae; Streptophyta; Magnoliopsida; Poales; Poaceae.